RNAcentral lists this transfer RNA (76 nucleotides) under Mycoplasmatota bacterium. Its description in RNAcentral is "Tenericutes bacterium (anaerobic digester metagenome) tRNA-Lys". It matches the Rfam family "tRNA". Rfam says of the family: Transfer RNA (tRNA) molecules are approximately 80 nucleotides in length. Their secondary structure includes four short double-helical elements and three loops (D, anti-codon, and T loops). Lineage: Bacteria; Bacillati; Mycoplasmatota. The record is from RNAcentral.
GUCUCCUUAGCUCAGUUGGUAGAGCAACUGACUCUUAAUCAGUGGGUCGUGGGUUCAAAUCCCUCAGGGGACACCA